RNAcentral lists this ribosomal RNA (440 nucleotides) under uncultured bacterium. RNAcentral describes it as "partial 16S ribosomal RNA". It matches the Rfam family "Bacterial small subunit ribosomal RNA", at positions 338 to 795 of the family's 1533-position model. The record is from RNAcentral.
CCUACGGGAGGCAGCAGUGGGGAAUAUUGCACAAUGGGGGAAACCCUGAUGCAGCGACGCCGCGUGAGUGAAGAAGUAAUUCGUUAUGUAAAGCUCUAUCAGCAGGGAAGAAAAUGACGGUACCUGAGUAAGAAGCCCCGGCUAACUACGUGCCAGCAGCCGCGGUAAUACGUAGGGGGAGAGCGUUAUCCGGAUUUACUGGGUGGAAAGGGAGCGUAGACGGCAGUGCAAGUCUGGAGUGAAAGGCGGGGGCUCAACCCCCGGACUGCUCUGGAAACUGGACGGCUGGAGUGCAGGAGAGGUUAGUGGAAUUCCUAGUGUAGCGGUGAAAUGCGUAGAUAUUAGGAGGAACACCAGUGGCGAAGGCGGCUUACUGGACUGUAACUGACGUUGAGGCUCGAAAGCGUGGGGAGCAAACAGGAUUAGAUACCCCGGUAGUC